This 273-nucleotide ribosomal RNA is filed under the name uncultured bacterium. RNAcentral's name for it is "partial 16S ribosomal RNA". It matches the Rfam family "Bacterial small subunit ribosomal RNA", at positions 524 to 796 of the family's 1533-position model. The record is from RNAcentral.
UACGAAGGGGGCUAGCGUUGCUCGGAAUGACUGGGCGUAAAGGGCGCGUAGGCGGAUUGAUUAGUUAGGCGUGAAAUUCCUGGGCUUAACCUGGGGGCUGCGCUUAAUACAGUCAGUCUUGAGUGUGGAAGAGGGUCGUGGAAUUCCCAGUGUAGAGGUGAAAUUCGUAGAUAUUGGGAAGAACACCGGUGGCGAAGGCGGCGACCUGGUCCAUUACUGACGCUGAGGCGCGAAAGCGUGGGGAGCAAACAGGAUUAGAAACCCCAGUAGUCC